UGGGGAAUUUUGGACAAUGGGCGAAAGCCUGAUCCAGCAAUGCCGCGUGUGUGAAGAAGGCCUUCGGGUUGUAAAGCACUUUUGUCCGGAAAGAAAUCCUCUGGGUUAAUACCUCGGGGGGAUGACGGUACCGGAAGAAUAAGCACCGGCUAACUACGUGCCAGCAGCCGCGGUAAUACGUAGGGUGCAAGCGUUAAUCGGAAUUACUGGGCGUAAAGCGUGCGCAGGCGGUUUUGUAAGACGGAUGUGAAAUCCCCGGGCUUAACCUGGGAACUGCAUUCGUGACUGCAAGGCUAGAGUAUGGCAGAGGGAGGUAGAAUUCCACGUGUAGCAGUGAAAUGCGUAGAGAUGUGGAGGAAUACCGAUGGCGAAGGCAGCCCCCUGGUCCAAUACUGACGCUCAUGCACGAAAGCGUGGGGAGCAAACA
This 427-nucleotide ribosomal RNA is filed under the name uncultured bacterium. Its description in RNAcentral is "bacterial SSU rRNA". It matches the Rfam family "Bacterial small subunit ribosomal RNA", at positions 355 to 774 of the family's 1533-position model. The record is from RNAcentral.